Molecule: unclassified non-coding RNA, 95 nt
Filed under: plant metagenome
Description: partial contains 5.8S ribosomal RNA, internal transcribed spacer 2, and large subunit ribosomal RNA
Source: RNAcentral
AUCGUGCUCAAUGCUGCCAAGGAUCAACGCGAUCCGGUCCGACGGUGGGUUCCGUGGCUGUGUGCCUAUUCCGGCGCACGAGUCUCGGAGGUCUG